RNAcentral lists this ribosomal RNA (805 nucleotides) under Teratosphaeria nubilosa. RNAcentral's name for it is "eukaryotic LSU rRNA". It matches the Rfam family "Eukaryotic large subunit ribosomal RNA", at positions 82 to 919 of the family's 3401-position model. Lineage: Eukaryota; Fungi; Ascomycota; Dothideomycetes; Mycosphaerellales; Teratosphaeriaceae. The record is from RNAcentral.
AGUAACGGCGAGUGAAGCGGCAACAGCUCAAAUUUGAAAUCUGGCGCAAGCCCGAGUUGUAAUUUGCAGAGGAUGCUUCAGGGCAGCGACCGGUCUAAGUUCCUUGGAACAGGACGUCGUAGAGGGUGAGAAUCCCGUAUGCGACCGGUUGGCACCCGUCACGUAGCUCCUUCGACGAGUCGAGUUGUUUGGGAAUGCAGCUCUAAAUGGGAGGUAAAUUUCUUCUAAAGCUAAAUACCGGCCAGAGACCGAUAGCGCACAAGUAGAGUGAUCGAAAGAUGAAAAGCACUUUGGAAAGAGAGUUAAAAAGCACGUGAAAUUGUUGAAAGGGAAGCGCAUGCAACCAGACUUGUCGGCGGUGUUCCGCCGGUCUUCUGACCGGUCCACUCGCCGCCGGCAGGCCAGCAUCAUCUGGGCGCGCCGGACAAAGGCGCGGGGAAUGUAGCUCCUCGGAGUGUUAUAGCCCCGCGCACAAUACGGCGCCGCUCGGGUGAGGUCCGCGCUUCGGCUAGGAUGCUGGCGUAAUGGUUGUCUGCGGCCCGUCUUGAAACACGGACCAAGGAGUCUAACAUCUAUGCGAGUGUUCGGGUGUCAAACCCCUACGCGGAAUGAAAGUGAACGGAGGUGGGAAGCGCAAGCUGCACCAUCGACCGAUCCUGAUGUCUUCGGAUGGAUUUGAGUAAGAGCAUAGCUGUUGGGACCCGAAAGAUGGUGAACUAUGCCUGAAUAGGGUGAAGCCAGAGGAAACUCUGGUGGAGGCUCGCAGCGGUUCUGACGUGCAAAUCGAUCGUCAAAUUUGGGUAUA